This 460-nucleotide ribosomal RNA is filed under the name uncultured bacterium. RNAcentral describes it as "partial 16S ribosomal RNA". It matches the Rfam family "Bacterial small subunit ribosomal RNA", at positions 338 to 795 of the family's 1533-position model. The record is from RNAcentral.
CCUACGGGCGGCAGCAGUGAGGAAUAUUGGUCAAUGGACGCAAGUCUGAACCAGCCAUGCCGCGUGCAGGAAGACGGCUCUAUGAGUUGUAAACUGCUUUUGUACGAGGGUAAACUCAGAUACGUGUACCUUUCUGCAAGUACCCUACGAAUAAGGAUCGGCUAACUCCGUGCCAGCAGCCGCGGUAAUACGGAGGAUUCAAGCGUUAUCCGGAUUUAUUGGGGUUAAAGGGUGCGUAGGUGGGCGGUUAAGUCAGGGGUGAAAUCCCGGGGCUCAACUUCGGAAUUGCCUCUGAAACUGUUCGGCUAGAGUGUAGUAGCGGUAGGCGGAAUGUGUGGUGUAGCGGUGAAAUGCUUAGAGAUCAUGCAGAACACCGAUUGCGAAGGCAGCAUACCAGGCUACAUCUGACGUUGAGGCACGAAAGCGUGGGGAGCAAACAGGAUUAGAUACCCUUGUAGUC